UCCUUAGUGGUCCAGUGGUUAGGACUCUGCACUCUCACUGCUGAGGACCUGGGUUCAAUCCCUGGUCUGGGAA
This 73-nucleotide transfer RNA is filed under the name Bos taurus (domestic cattle). It matches the Rfam family "tRNA". Rfam says of the family: Transfer RNA (tRNA) molecules are approximately 80 nucleotides in length. The record is from Rfam by way of RNAcentral. Lineage: Eukaryota; Metazoa; Chordata; Mammalia; Artiodactyla; Bovidae. RNAcentral also lists the same sequence under 1 other name.